RNAcentral lists this ribosomal RNA (1156 nucleotides) under Bothrogonia shuana. RNAcentral describes it as "16S ribosomal RNA". The stretch from base 741 to 1104 matches the Rfam family "Archaeal large subunit ribosomal RNA", at positions 2151 to 2715 of the family's 2987-position model. Lineage: Eukaryota; Metazoa; Arthropoda; Insecta; Hemiptera; Cicadellidae. The record is from RNAcentral.
UUUAUAAUUUAUUGCUUUAAUUAUUAAAUAUAUUAUUUAAGUAUAUCAUGAACUAAGGGUUUUUUAAAACUGAUUAGGGUUUAAUUUAAAAUUAUAGUAUAAUUUAUUAGUACCUUUUGUAUCAUGGUAAAUUUAAUAAUAAAUGUAUAUUUACUUCCCGAAAAACAAAUAUUUAUUUAAUAAUUUCUUUUUUUGUUGUAAAAAAAUUGUUAAUUUUUAAAUGGUAGUAAAAUGUUAAUCGUUUUGUUUUAUAUCUGGUUAACUAGGAAAUCAAUUUAAUUGUGAACUUAAUUUUAGUUUUAUAUUAUUUUGGAUAAUCUGAAUUUUUUCUUAAAAUUUUAAUUUUAAAUAUAUUUAUUAAAUUUUAAAUCUUUUACUAAGUUCUUAAUUGAUUAAUAUUUUUUAUUAUGAUUUUUUUUAUUUUUAUGUUUUUACUUGUUUAAAUUAUUUAAUUACUUUUUAAUUUUUAUAAUGAUUUAAUUAGUAAAAUUUUGAAUUAAUUUUUAAUGAACUCGACAUUUAUUAUUUCCAACUGUUUAUCAAAAACAUUUCCUUUAGUUUAUUUUUAAAGGUAAUUUCUGCCCUAUGAAUUUUAAAUGGCUGCAGUACCCUGACUGUGCAAAGGUAGCAUAAUAAUUAGUCAUUUAAUUGUUGACUUGUAUGAAUGAAUACAUGAGAUGUAAAUUUUAUUAAUUUUAAUGUUUAAAUUUUAUUUUUAGGUAAAAAAGCUUAAUUGAAUUUUAGGGACGAUAAGACCCUAUAGAACUUUAUAAGUUUAUUAAAUUAACUGAAUUUAGAAGUUUAUUUUAUUUAUUUUAUUAAAAUUUGUUUGGUUGGGGUGACAAGUAAAAUUUUACUUUACUUUAUUUAAUCAUUAAAUUUAUGUUUUUAUUGAUCCACUGUUUAGAUAAAAAGAAAAAGUUACCUUAGGGAUAACAGCGUAAUUUUAGUGGGGAGUUCUUAUUUAUACUAAAGUUUGCGACCUCGAUGUUGAAUUAAGAUUAGUUUAGGGGGUAGGUUUUCUAAAACUAAGUCUGUUCGACUUUUAAAAUCUUACAUGAUUUGAGUUCAAACCGGUGUGAGCCAGGUUGGUUUCUAUCUUAAUAUCAUUAAAUUUGUUUAGUACGAAAGGACCAAUAAAUUCAAUAUUCUUUGU